This 1287-nucleotide long non-coding RNA is filed under the name Equus caballus (horse). RNAcentral describes it as "lncRNA (ENSECAG00000050166.1)". The record is from RNAcentral. Lineage: Eukaryota; Metazoa; Chordata; Mammalia; Perissodactyla; Equidae.
UUUGUGAUCUUUCUUUAUGAUUUAGGCAGGCCCCAAAAUCCAUUAGAUCUGAACAAGAAACACUAGUGGAGUUCUGUAUGUUUGGCAUUGUUCUCUGACUUACGUAGUGAAUGAAUAGCAGAGACACCAAAGAGUAUCCAUGUCUUUGUCAAUGCUCAACAAACCGUGUUGAGAUUGUGUCUCUUUGACAGAUGGGAAAUUAUUUUGGUGGGAAGAAGAAUGACUGAAUCAGUGAUUUUUUUGUUUGUUAAGAUGUUUGUAGCAUGCUAGUUGAAAAUCAGGGAUUUAGCCACACGACAGUAACCUUUUCAGACUGCUUCUGUCCCCCUUGGUGACAAACUGAUUUUAGUUCACAAGUACUUCACAGGUAUCUCAGAGGCCUCUGGAGCCCCCAUUAGUAAAGAGCCUUGAAGCCUCUUUUCUAGAGCCGACGCUUAAGGGUAUGUAUCCCCAGCUUUUUUCCAGAGCUUAGGGCAAUGAUCAAUUCAAACACUUUAUGUGUGGUUACAAGAACACACGUAUAUAAGUAUAUACUGGCAUCUGAGAAUGUUUGUAUUGUUUCUGUGUAAAUGAUUCCCUUCCUUAAACCUCCCUUGCUGCAUAAAAAUGUUUUGACCAAAAAUGUUCAUAUGAUGAACUUGAUAUAGAUGUUGCCUAAGAUUAAAAUUUUAAGGAUGAAUAAUGAUGUGAUAGGUGGUUGUCAUUUAUUGUUUGCUUACUGUAUGCCAGGCACUGUGCAUUUCACAUUCAUUACCAUUUACAGGUAUCUCAUUUUAAUAUCUGACAACAAUCCUAUAAAGGAGGGACUAUUAUUGUGCCCAUUUUGCAGAUAAUGUAACUGAGGCUUAGAAGGAUUAGGCAACUUCUCCAGCCUCAACUUAACUAGGAAGUGCUAGAACUAAAACUCAAAUCCGUGUCACAUGACCAGAAAGAUUUCUCUUCACCAACACUGUGCAAUUCUAUCUCACCAGGUCGUCUUCCUUCUGCCUAGGAACCAACUCCCUCACUUCCAGCAGGUACAGCAUAAGUAUCCUGAUUUUGGGCUCAGUGCUCACCAUCAUCCUUUUACCCCCGAAACACUGAGGAAAUAAGAGCUUGCUGCAUGAGGCAAUGGGACCAUUUAAUGAGUCUGCCUAAAGAAGACCUCUAUGAAAGAAGCACGCACUUCAGGCUGGUGGCUUUAUUAUCUUUAUUAAUAUAUUCAGUGUCCUCUCCCUGGUUCUUUGCAUAAAGAUGAUGGGAGAGACAUCUGCUCCAAAGCUGUUCCACUGAAUGGCGAGUUUGAUG